GACGAACGCUGGCGGCGCGCCUAACACAUGCAAGUCGAACGAGCGAGAGAGGGCUUGCUUUCUCGAGCGAGUGGCGAACGGGUGAGUAACGCGUGAGGAACCUGCCUCAAAGAGGGGGACAACAGUUGGAAACGACUGCUAAUACCGCAUAAGCCCACGGGUCGGCAUCGACCAGAGGGAAAAGGAGCAAUCCGCUUUGAGAUGGCCUCGCGUCCGAUUAGCUAGUUGGUGAGGUAAUGGCCCACCAAGGCGACGAUCGGUAGCCGGACUGAGAGGUUGAACGGCCACAUUGGGACUGAGACACGGCCCAGACUCCUACGGGAGGCAGCAGUGGGGAAUAUUGCACAAUGGGGGAAACCCUGAUGCAGCGACGCCGCGUGGAGGAAGAAGGUCUUCGGAUUGUAAACUCCUGUUGUUGGGGAAGAUAAUGACGGUACCCAACAAGGAAGUGACGGCUAACUACGUG
RNAcentral lists this ribosomal RNA (466 nucleotides) under uncultured bacterium. RNAcentral's name for it is "partial 16S ribosomal RNA". It matches the Rfam family "Bacterial small subunit ribosomal RNA", at positions 28 to 507 of the family's 1533-position model. The record is from RNAcentral.